GACGAACGCUGGCGGCGUGCCUAACACAUGCAAGUCGAACGGAGAUUAUUGAUGAAGCUUGCGAUUUAAUAAUCUUAGUGGCGGACGGGUGAGUAACGCGUGGGUAACCUGCCCAUAAGAGGGGGAUAACAUCCGGAAACGGGUGCUAAUACCGCAUGGUUUUCUUGAUCGCAUGAUUGAGAAAGAAAGGCGGCCUUUGUGCUGUCGCUUAUGGAUGGACCCGCGGCGUAUUAGUUAGUUGGUGAGGUAACGGCUCACCAAGACGAUGAUACGUAGCCGACCUGAGAGGGUGAUCGGCCACA
RNAcentral lists this ribosomal RNA (302 nucleotides) under uncultured bacterium. RNAcentral's name for it is "bacterial SSU rRNA". It matches the Rfam family "Bacterial small subunit ribosomal RNA", at positions 28 to 312 of the family's 1533-position model. The record is from RNAcentral.